This 2436-nucleotide ribosomal RNA is filed under the name Salmonella enterica subsp. enterica serovar Stanley. RNAcentral's name for it is "partial 23S ribosomal RNA". It matches the Rfam family "Bacterial large subunit ribosomal RNA", at positions 305 to 2730 of the family's 2925-position model. Lineage: Bacteria; Pseudomonadati; Pseudomonadota; Gammaproteobacteria; Enterobacterales; Enterobacteriaceae. The record is from RNAcentral.
AGAGCCUGAAUCAGCAUGUGUGUUAGUGGAAGCGUCUGGAAAGUCGCGCGAUACAGGGUGACAGCCCCGUACACAAAAGCGCAUGUGUUGUGAGCUCGAUGAGUAGGGCGGGACACGUGGUAUCCUGUCUGAAUAUGGGGGGACCAUCCUCCAAGGCUAAAUACUCCUGACUGACCGAUAGUGAACCAGUACCGUGAGGGAAAGGCGAAAAGAACCCCGGCGAGGGGAGUGAAAAAGAACCUGAAACCGUGUACGUACAAGCAGUGGGAGCACCCUUCGGGGUGUGACUGCGUACCUUUUGUAUAAUGGGUCAGCGACUUAUAUUCUGUAGCAAGGUUAACCGAAUAGGGGAGCCGGAGGGAAACCGAGUCUUAAUUGGGCGUUAAGUUGCAGGGUAUAGACCCGAAACCCGGUGAUCUAGCCAUGGGCAGGUUGAAGGUUGGGUAACACUAACUGGAGGACCGAACCGACUAAUGUUGAAAAAUUAGCGGAUGACCUGUGGCUGGGGGUGAAAGGCCAAUCAAACCGGGAGAUAGCUGGUUCUCCCCGAAAGCUAUUUAGGUAGCGCCUCGUGAAUUCAUCUCCGGGGGUAGAGCACUGUUUCGGCUAGGGGGCCAUCCCGGCUUACCAACCCGAUGCAAACUGCGAAUACCGGAGAAUGUUAUCACGGGAGACACACGGCGGGUGCUAACGUCCGUCGUGAAGAGGGAAACAACCCAGACCGCCAGCUAAGGUCCCAAAGUCAUGGUUAAGUGGGAAACGAUGUGGGAAGGCCCAGACAGCCAGGAUGUUGGCUUAGAAGCAGCCAUCAUUUAAAGAAAGCGUAAUAGCUCACUGGUCGAGUCGGCCUGCGCGGAAGAUGUAACGGGGCUAAACCAUGCACCGAAGCUGCGGCAGCGACACUGUGUGUUGUUGGGUAGGGGAGCGUUCUGUAAGCCUGUGAAGGUGUGUCGUGAGGCAUGCUGGAGGUAUCAGAAGUGCGAAUGCUGACAUAAGUAACGAUAAAGCGGGUGAAAAGCCCGCUCGCCGGAAGACCAAGGGUUCCUGUCCAACGUUAAUCGGGGCAGGGUGAGUCGACCCCUAAGGCGAGGCCGAAAGGCGUAGUCGAUGGGAAACGGGUUAAUAUUCCCGUACUUGGUGUUACUGCGAAGGGGGGACGGAGAAGGCUAUGUUGGCCGGGCGACGGUUGUCCCGGUUUAAGCGUGUAGGUGUGUGUUCCAGGUAAAUCCGGUUCACUUUAACACUGAGGCGUGACGACGAGGCACUACGGUGCUGAAGCAACAAAUGCCCUGCUUCCAGGAAAAGCCUCUAAGCAUCAGGUAACAUCAAAUCGUACCCCAAACCGACACAGGUGGUCAGGUAGAGAAUACCAAGGCGCUUGAGAGAACUCGGGUGAAGGAACUAGGCAAAAUGGUGCCGUAACUUCGGGAGAAGGCACGCUGACACGUAGGUGAAGUGAUUUACUCAUGGAGCUGAAGUCAGUCGAAGAUACCAGCUGGCUGCAACUGUUUAUUAAAAACACAGCACUGUGCAAACACGAAAGUGGACGUAUACGGUGUGACGCCUGCCCGGUGCCGGAAGGUUAAUUGAUGGGGUCAGCGCAAGCGAAGCUCCUGAUCGAAGCCCCGGUAAACGGCGGCCGUAACUAUAACGGUCCUAAGGUAGCGAAAUUCCUUGUCGGGUAAGUUCCGACCUGCACGAAUGGCGUAAUGAUGGCCAGGCUGUCUCCACCCGAGACUCAGUGAAAUUGAACUCGCUGUGAAGAUGCAGUGUACCCGCGGCAAGACGGAAAGACCCCGUGAACCUUUACUAUAGCUUGACACUGAACAUUGAGCCUUGAUGUGUAGGAUAGGUGGGAGGCUUUGAAGCGUGGACGCCAGUCUGCGUGGAGCCGACCUUGAAAUACCACCCUUUAAUGUUUGAUGUUCUAACGUGGACCCGUGAUCCGGGUUGCGGACAGUGUCUGGUGGGUAGUUUGACUGGGGCGGUCUCCUCCUAAAGAGUAACGGAGGAGCACGAAGGUUGGCUAAUCCUGGUCGGACAUCAGGAGGUUAGUGCAAUGGCAUAAGCCAGCUUGACUGCGAGCGUGACGGCGCGAGCAGGUGCGAAAGCAGGUCAUAGUGAUCCGGUGGUUCUGAAUGGAAGGGCCAUCGCUCAACGGAUAAAAGGUACUCCGGGGAUAACAGGCUGAUACCGCCCAAGAGUUCAUAUCGACGGCGGUGUUUGGCACCUCGAUGUCGGCUCAUCACAUCCUGGGGCUGAAGUAGGUCCCAAGGGUAUGGCUGUUCGCCAUUUAAAGUGGUACGCGAGCUGGGUUUAGAACGUCGUGAGACAGUUCGGUCCCUAUCUGCCGUGGGCGCUGGAGAACUGAGGGGGGCUGCUCCUAGUACGAGAGGACCGGAGUGGACGCAUCACUGGUGUUCGGGUUGUCAUGCC